CCUACGGGAGGCUGCAGUGAGGAAUAUUGUUCAAUGGCCGGAAGUCUGAACCAGCCAAGCCGCGUGAAGGACGAAGGUGCCAAGCAUUGUAAACUUCUUUUGUCAAGGGACAAAAUCCGGCUCGAGAGCCUGACCGAGUGUACUUUAAGAAAAAGCAUCGGCUAACUCCGUGCCAGCAGCCGCGGUAAUACGGGGGAUGCGAGCGUUAUCCGGAUUUAUUGGGUUUAAAGGGUGCGUAGGGGGGCUGUUAAGUCAGCGGGAAAAGCCCGGGGCUCAACCCCGGCGAGCCGUUGAAACUGGCUGUCUGGAGAUGUCGAGAGGUAGGCGGAAUGCGCAGUGUAGCGGUGAAAUGCUUAGAUAUUGCGCAGAACUCCGAUUGCGAAGGCAGCAUACCGGAGGCGAUCUGACGCUGAGGCACGAAAGCGUGGGUAUCGAACAGGAUUAGAUACCCCAGUAGUC
This 459-nucleotide ribosomal RNA is filed under the name uncultured bacterium. RNAcentral describes it as "partial 16S ribosomal RNA". It matches the Rfam family "Bacterial small subunit ribosomal RNA", at positions 338 to 795 of the family's 1533-position model. The record is from RNAcentral.